This 114-nucleotide small RNA is filed under the name Marmota monax (woodchuck). Lineage: Eukaryota; Metazoa; Chordata; Mammalia; Rodentia; Sciuridae. The record is from RNAcentral.
GCUGGGUGCAGUGGUGCAUCCCUGUAAUCCCAGCGGCUCAGGAGGCUGAGGCAGGAGGAUCACAAGUUCAAAGCCGAGCGGGGUGCUAAGCAACUCCGUGAGACCCUGUCUCUA